This 230-nucleotide ribosomal RNA is filed under the name uncultured bacterium. Its description in RNAcentral is "partial 16S ribosomal RNA". It matches the Rfam family "Bacterial small subunit ribosomal RNA", at positions 567 to 790 of the family's 1533-position model. The record is from RNAcentral.
ACGCGCGUAGGUGGUUUGUUUAAGUUAGGAGUGUGAAAUCCCCCGGGCUCAACCUGGGAACUGCAUUCAAAACUGACUGACUAGAGUAUGGUAGAGGGUGGUGGAAUUUCCUGUGUAGCGGUGAAAUGCGUAGAUAUAGGAAGGAACACCAGUGGCGAAGGCGACCACCUGGACUGAUACUGACACUGAGGUGCGAAAGCGUGGGGAGCAAACAGGAUUAGAUACCCUGU